Non-coding RNA from Caligus rogercresseyi, 75 nucleotides. NCBI's taxonomy places the organism in Eukaryota, Metazoa, Arthropoda, Copepoda, Siphonostomatoida, Caligidae. The record is from the annotation of a GenBank genome assembly.
GGCUCGUUGGUCUAGGGGUAUGAUUCUCGCUUAGGGUGCGAGAGAGGUCCCAGGGUUCAAAUCCCGGACGAGCCC